Capsicum annuum is the source of this 1268-nucleotide long non-coding RNA. RefSeq lists it as uncharacterized. The record is from RefSeq and is a predicted model, not a curated record. Lineage: Eukaryota; Viridiplantae; Streptophyta; Magnoliopsida; Solanales; Solanaceae. The transcript has 2 exons.
AUUUACACAAGUAUGGCCCAGCCAAAACUAUUUAUGCAAAUUGAACAUGUGACUCAAUUUAUUUACAUGAAAUGUCUCUUUAACUGCACAUACUUUCUUCUUAUUUUUUGUCAGUGUAUUUAUUGCUAUGGCCUUAUCAUUUUAUCCUUGCUUUUAAAAAAAAAAAAAAAUUAAACUUGCUCUAUGAACCAACUUUUAUUAGUAAAGGAAUCAAAUGUCAAACAAGAAUAAAAGUGGCUCAAAAAUAAAAACUGCAAAUAAAAAAACAUGUGUUACUGAGGUUUAAAAUAAACCGGUCCAAAUUACUUUUGAAAACAAAUAAAUAGACGUCUAGGCUUGUCUGGAGUUCUAGAAUUUCCCAGAUAGACAUCUUCUCUUCAUCUUCAAUCCUAUCUCAUCUCAUCACCGAUGGUGUGUAAAUGAUGGUGCACCGCUUCUUUGGUGGUGUUUCAUAGCUCCAACGUGGUAAGCCCCAUGACGCCUUCGGUAUCUUCUUGACACUCGAGAUCUACUUCUCCAACCACCACCCGAUUGCUUUGUAGAUCUUAUCAGCUGUGAUCCUUGUUAAACUCGAUUUACUACUUUCUCCAUUCCUUUUGACUUGUUCAGAAUUUACUUUCAAGGACUGUGAGAAGCCAGUGAGAUUUAUUAUCUAUAGAGUGGAGAGUAGGUGAAUUUCGCGAAAAAUGUGAUUGAUGUGCUAAUAUCAACUUUCGUGAGUGGCAAGUCCAUGCUUGAGUUAGAAAUAGAAAGUUUUAAUUAAUUUUUAUUUUUUAUUGCAUGUUAGAAAGUGAUUUGGACAUUGGAACAGAGCAGUCUACCUUUUGGAUAAAUCUCAACAAUAAGUGUUUUUUUCCUAAAAUAUUCAUUGAGAGUUCUGAAAAUUUUGAUAAAAAUUAGAAAAAUGUUGAUGAAAAAAAUUCUCAAGGUUGAAUUUGAGAUAAGAAUCAUUGAGAAGAACUCAAGAGUUAGCAAAAAAAAAAAAAAAAAGGAAAAGUGAGAAAACAAAGUGAAAAAGUAAGAAGAUAAUUCAUUUAAUGUGAAAGAGUGGUGUAUUGUCGCUACUAAAUUACUUCCAUCAUAGUUGUCUAAUACAAGAUCACUGAGGGGUGAGGAGAGAUUCUAUCAAAUGGUAAAGGAUUUAUUUUGCAUGUUUCUGGAGUUAUUACUAUCGUCGUUCAUUAUUGUAAUAGAAUCGGUCCAGUGAAACAUGCGUGGUUUGAAAUUUUCAACAAUAAUGUAGAGAUCGCAAGGAGAGAUAGAGGGAA